GGAGAUUAUAUGGGGGAAGGAAGAACAAGAAGAUGAUCAGAUUCAUAAGCCACAGCAGACUUCCCAGAAGCGCCUUUGGCUUCAUCAGCGUUCUCACACCCCAAAGCUGCAGCUCUCCCCAGCGCACCCCACUCUCUCCACCCACCCCUCUGGUUCCUCUUCCCUUGCCCUGUGUGUGGCUGGGGUAGAUGGGGAACAUGAACCCCCACAGGUUCAUAAGUUCCAUCCCUUUUAUGCUCAGAUGUAUUUGAAGUUCCUUCCCUAGCAGUAAACUUCAAGAAAAAGAGACUGUGAA
This is a non-coding RNA of Ictidomys tridecemlineatus (thirteen-lined ground squirrel), 295 nucleotides long. NCBI's taxonomy places the organism in Eukaryota, Metazoa, Chordata, Mammalia, Rodentia, Sciuridae. The record is from RefSeq and is a predicted model, not a curated record.